GAAUGGUAAGUGGUCAGGAUGGUGUGGAAGAUGUCCACAUCCUAAUCCCCAGAACCUGUGACUGUCAUUUUAAAUGACAAAAGGGACCUUGCAGAUGUGACUAAAUUAAUGAUCUAGAGAUGAGGAGAUUAUUUUAGGUUAUCCAGGGGCCCAGUGUAAUCAUAGGGGUCCUCCACAACAGUGAGUAGGAGGAAGGCAACAUGACGGCAGACACAGAGAUCCAAGUGAUGUGGCUAUAAGCCGAGGAAUGCAGGCCACCUGGAAAAGCUGGAGGGCGGGGAGUGGACUCUCCCCCAGAGCCUCCAGAGGAACUGACCCCGCCGACAGCUUAAGUUUAGUGCACAAAAUUCGUUUCAGAUUUCUGAUCACCACACCUGUAAGAACGAUCCUAAAUUUGUGUUGUGUUAAGCCAUAAAGUUUGUGGUUAAGAGUUGUCCCUCACUAUCUGUGGGGGAUUGUUUCCAGGACCCCCUAAGUAUGCCCAAAUCCAUAUACUCAAGUCCUGAAGUAAUGGCAGGUACAUGUGGAAUCCACUGUAUACACAGGCCUCGCAUCCUGCAAACACUGUAUUUGUGAUCUGCAGUUGAAAAAAAUCUGUGUCUAAGUGGACCCAUGCACUUCAAACCCUUGUUGUUUAAGGGUCGAUGGCAUUUGUUACAUCAACAAUAGGAAGCCAAUACAGAUGGUUAAGACUUUGUGACCAGGUGGUUAUCAAAGAAGGAAAGGGAGGGGUCCCAGAAAGGGUUGAGGAAGAGUGAAUAGAAGCCACAUAGACUCUUCCGAGGAGUACCCAUGUGUCACUUCUGGGACAGGCAGCCUCACUCCUGCCAGGGCCGUGCAGGGCAGUCCACAGGCCAAAGGUCCAAGUAGAUUCAGCGCUGCUGAGUUGCUUCUGGGAACCCACCAGUCUCCAAGCAACUUGACUUCAUUAUGCAGAUCCAGCAAGACACAGAGACAUUUUUGAAUCCACAAAUAACUUCUAUCUAGGACCAGUGAUGACCCAGCUUCAAGCAUGCAGCAGAUGAGGACAAUGCUCCAGAGGAUGGAGAAGCAACAUGAUACGAGGAAUCUGUGUCCCUGAAUGACCAUUUGGUGCACAGCUGCCCCAAUGACCUGGAUCACUCACUUCAGACAGGUUAAUUCCCUUCAGAGCUGUUACGUGAGAAAGAAUAAACUUCUUUGUUCUUUAA
Molecule: long non-coding RNA, 1190 nt
Filed under: Homo sapiens (human)
Lineage: Eukaryota; Metazoa; Chordata; Mammalia; Primates; Hominidae
Description: HSALNT0291603
Source: RNAcentral